Molecule: ribosomal RNA, 1291 nt
Filed under: Salmonella enterica subsp. enterica serovar Saintpaul
Lineage: Bacteria; Pseudomonadati; Pseudomonadota; Gammaproteobacteria; Enterobacterales; Enterobacteriaceae
Description: partial 23S ribosomal RNA
Rfam family: Bacterial large subunit ribosomal RNA
Source: RNAcentral
AAUCCAUAGGUUAAUGAGGCGAACCGGGGGAACUGAAACAUCUAAGUACCCCGAGGAAAAGAAAUCAACCGAGAUUCCCCCAGUAGCGGCGAGCGAACGGGGAGGAGCCCAGAGCCUGAAUCAGCAUGUGUGUUAGUGGAAGCGUCUGGAAAGGCGCGCGAUACAGGGUGACAGCCCCGUACACAAAAGCGCAUGUGCUGUGAGCUCGAUGAGUAGGGCGGGACACGUGGUAUCCUGUCUGAAUAUGGGGGGACCAUCCUCCAAGGCUAAAUACUCCUGACUGACCGAUAGUGAACCAGUACCGUGAGGGAAAGGCGAAAAGAACCCCGGCGAGGGGAGUGAAAAAGAACCUGAAACCGUGUACGUACAAGCAGUGGGAGCACAGGUUUACCUGUGUGACUGCGUACCUUUUGUAUAAUGGGUCAGCGACUUAUAUUCUGUAGCAAGGUUAACCGUAUAGGGGAGCCGGAGGGAAACCGAGUCUUAAUUGGGCGUUAAGUUGCAGGGUAUAGACCCGAAACCCGGUGAUCUAGCCAUGGGCAGGUUGAAGGUUGGGUAACACUAACUGGAGGACCGAACCGACUAAUGUUGAAAAAUUAGCGGAUGACCUGUGGCUGGGGGUGAAAGGCCAAUCAAACCGGGAGAUAGCUGGUUCUCCCCGAAAGCUAUUUAGGUAGCGCCUCGUGAAUUCAUCUCCGGGGGUAGAGCACUGUUUCGGCUAGGGGGCCAUCCCGGCUUACCAACCCGAUGCAAACUGCGAAUACCGGAGAAUGUUAUCACGGGAGACACACGGCGGGUGCUAACGUCCGUCGUGAAGAGGGAAACAACCCAGACCGCCAGCUAAGGUCCCAAAGUCAUGGUUAAGUGGGAAACGAUGUGGGAAGGCCCAGACAGCCAGGAUGUUGGCUUAGAAGCAGCCAUCAUUUAAAGAAAGCGUAAUAGCUCACUGGUCGAGUCGGCCUGCGCGGAAGAUGUAACGGGGCUAAACCAUGCACCGAAGCUGCGGCAGCGACGCUUAUGCGUUGUUGGGUAGGGGAGCGUUCUGUAAGCCUGUGAAGGUGGCCUGUGAGGGUUGCUGGAGGUAUCAGAAGUGCGAAUGCUGACAUAAGUAACGAUAAAGCGGGUGAAAAGCCCGCUCGCCGGAAGACCAAGGGUUCCUGUCCAACGUUAAUCGGGGCAGGGUGAGUCGACCCCUAAGGCGAGGCCGAAAGGCGUAGUCGAUGGGAAACGGGUUAAUAUUCCCGUACUUGGUGUUACUGCGAAGGGGGGACGGAGAAGGCUAUGUUGGCCG